UCUCUUAACUCCAUCUCACCCAGAAGUUCUGUGCGUCCAUGAAUCCACCACAGACUACCCAGUAAAUAUACCACUUUAUGGUUAAAGGAA
Long non-coding RNA from Oncorhynchus nerka (sockeye salmon), 90 nucleotides. RefSeq lists it as uncharacterized. NCBI's taxonomy places the organism in Eukaryota, Metazoa, Chordata, Actinopteri, Salmoniformes, Salmonidae. The transcript has 2 exons. The record is from RefSeq and is a predicted model, not a curated record.